CACGUAGGGUGCGAGCGUUGUCCGGAAUUAUUGGGCGUAAAGAGCUCGUAGGCGGUAUGUCGCGUCUGCUGUGAAAGACCGGGGCUUAACUUCGGUUUUGCAGUGGAUACGGGCAUGCUUGAGGUAGGUAGGGGAGACUGGAAUUCCUGGUGUAGCGGUGAAAUGCGCAGAUAUCAGGAGGAACACCGGUGGCGAAGGCGGGUCUCUGGGCCUUACCUGACGCUGAGGAGCGAAAGCAUGGGUAGCCAACAGGAUUAGAUACCCUGGUA
This 269-nucleotide ribosomal RNA is filed under the name uncultured prokaryote. RNAcentral describes it as "partial 16S ribosomal RNA". It matches the Rfam family "Bacterial small subunit ribosomal RNA", at positions 524 to 792 of the family's 1533-position model. The record is from RNAcentral.